Ailuropoda melanoleuca (giant panda) is the source of this 627-nucleotide non-coding RNA. The record is from the annotation of a RefSeq genome assembly. Lineage: Eukaryota; Metazoa; Chordata; Mammalia; Carnivora; Ursidae.
AUGUCAGCAGAGAGAUGGAACCCCAAGAAAGAAUCAAAAAGAAAUGUGGGAGAUCAGAAGCACUUAGACCAGAAACAGCUGAAGAAAAAAUCUCUGACCGUGAUGACAGUUUUCAGUGGGAAUGGGAAGGGCCUGACCACCCCCUCUUGUCUGGAUACUGAUUACAUGGGUCCCGACCAGAAGAGGGCCGAGCCACUGCUGGUCUGUAGCCACCAGCUUCUGCGAGGACACGAGAUCCUCAGUGCACCAGAGGAGGAAAGAACGAUGAAGUCAAGAGUUUUACUAGUGAUGCUGUGGCUUCAGUUAACCUGGAUGAAGAGUCAACAGAAGGGAAUGGAGCAGAGUCUUGGAUCUCUGAGGGUUCUGCAGGGAGCCACUGCCUCUCUCAACUGCAAUUAUAGUGACAGUGCUUCCCAGUACUUUGUGUGGUACAGACAGUACUCCGGGAAGGGCCCCGAGCUGCUGGUGUACCUGUACUCCAAAGGUGACAAAAAGGAAGGAAGAUUUUCGGCACAGGUCGAUGCAGCAAAACAAAAUGUCUUCCUGCUCAUCAGCGACUCCCAGUCCAGGGACUCAGCCACCUACCUCUGUGCAGUGAGCACGCAGUGCUCCCCUGACACCUGCUGA